CGCGGAGUAGAGCAGUGGUAGCUUAUUAGUCUCAUAAACUAAUGGUCGCAGGUUCGAUUCCUGCCUCCGCAA
Molecule: transfer RNA, 72 nt
Filed under: Bacteriophage sp.
Description: tRNA-Met
Rfam family: tRNA
About the family: Transfer RNA (tRNA) molecules are approximately 80 nucleotides in length. Their secondary structure includes four short double-helical elements and three loops (D, anti-codon, and T loops). Further hydrogen bonds mediate the characteristic L-shaped molecular structure. tRNAs have two regions of fundamental functional importance: the anti-codon, which is responsible for specific mRNA codon recognition, and the 3' end, to which the tRNAs corresponding amino acid is attached (by aminoacyl-tRNA synthetases). tRNAs cope with the degeneracy of the genetic code in two manners: having more than one tRNA (with a specific anti-codon) for a particular amino acid; and 'wobble' base-pairing, i.e. permitting non-standard base-pairing at the 3rd anti-codon position.
Source: RNAcentral